This 254-nucleotide ribosomal RNA is filed under the name uncultured bacterium. RNAcentral's name for it is "partial 16S ribosomal RNA". It matches the Rfam family "Bacterial small subunit ribosomal RNA", at positions 524 to 776 of the family's 1533-position model. The record is from RNAcentral.
UACGUAGGGUGCGAGCGUUGUCCGGAAUUAUUGGGCGUAAAGAGCUCGUAGGCGGUGUGUCACGUCGGCCGUGAAAACCUGCAGCUUAACUGUGGGCGUGCGGUCGAUACGGGCAUCACUGGAGUUCGGCAGGGGAGACUGGAAUUCCCGGUGUAGCGGUGAAAUGCGCAGAUAUCGGGAGGAACACCGGUGGCGAAGGCGGUUCUCUGGGCCUGUACUGACGCUGAGGAGCGAAAGCGUGGGGAGCGAACAGG